CUUGUAAAAAGCAAACCUGGAGCAAUUCAGGGACGCAAAGCCACGGAUCCUUCGGGAUGGCCGGGUUGCCAAGG
Molecule: regulatory RNA element, 74 nt
Organism: Geoalkalibacter ferrihydriticus DSM 17813
Lineage: Bacteria; Pseudomonadati; Thermodesulfobacteriota; Desulfuromonadia; Desulfuromonadales; Geoalkalibacteraceae
Rfam family: c-di-GMP-I-GGC riboswitch aptamer
Source: Rfam